Molecule: ribosomal RNA, 442 nt
Filed under: uncultured bacterium
Lineage: Bacteria
Description: partial 16S ribosomal RNA
Rfam family: Bacterial small subunit ribosomal RNA
Source: RNAcentral
CCUACGGGCGGCAGCAGUAGGGAAUCUUUCACAAUGGGCGAAAGCCUGAUGGAGCAACGCCGCGUGCAGGAUGAAGGCCUUCGGGUUGUAAACUGCUUUUAUAAGCGAGAAAUAUGAUGGUAACUUAUGAAUAAGGAUCGGCUAACUACGUGCCAGCAGCCGCGGUCAUACGUAGGAUCCGAGCAUUAUCCGGAGUGACUGGGUGUAAAGAGUUGCGUAGGUGGCAUAAUAAGUAGCUAGUGAAAUCUGGUGGCUCAACCAUUCAGACUAUUAGCUAAACUGUUAAGCUCGAGACCGUUAGGGGUAACUGGAAUUUCUAGUGUAGCGGUGAAAUGCGUAGAGAUUAGGAAGAACACCAGUGGCGAAGGCGAUUCUCUGGACUGUAACUGACGCUGAGGCUCGAAAGCGUGGGGAGCAAACAGGAUUAGAUACCCGAGUAGUC